This 688-nucleotide unclassified non-coding RNA is filed under the name Neodiprion pinetum (white pine sawfly). Its description in RNAcentral is "uncharacterized LOC124222155, transcript variant X1". Lineage: Eukaryota; Metazoa; Arthropoda; Insecta; Hymenoptera; Diprionidae. The record is from RNAcentral.
UCAGCUUUGGUCCGGCUGCGCACGGAGCUGGUCGUAUUUCAAUACAACAAUAACCGAUUGCCAAUAACUAGUUCCAUAAUGAUUCGUUUCUGUAACCGAAGGUGGGCAGCCUUUGUCUGUAUACUUGCGGUCUCGAUUGGAGUAUUGCACGGCAUGUCACACGUUGAAUUUUACGAAUAUUACUCCCAAUUUUUGGAUGACAUCGAUAGACUGUGUGAACUGAGUGUUGACUACAUCUCGUAUGUCAUUACGCGGCUGCUGAGCAGUAAAAAAACUGAUAAAUUGCAGAUGGUUAACGAGCAUUACAACCUGAUGGUUCAGAGAGCUCGGCCCUUGUUCACGCUUUUCGACGAAGACAUACGGAGGCUUAUCAUAUUCACAGACAACUUGGAGAGCAUAGAAAUGGUCAAGAAGUUCCUUUACUCUUACUUCAGACAGAGUGCAAUCAACUUGAUCGAUCACUUGAAACGGGUCUACAACUUGUGACAAUGCCUGUAGCUUAAUAGAUUUCUACCGUGUUGAAAUUGAUGAGUCUUCUUAGACGUGCAAGUUAAGAUUUCACAUUUGAAUACGGCAGCUUGUUAUUUUUGAUUGGAUUGCCAGGUGAUGUUCGUUCAACUUCUGUACGGCUACGAUGGUGGCACUACAAAUUUUUCUGUAAAUCAAUAAAUCGUUGUGGAAAAACAUA